Molecule: transfer RNA, 73 nt
Filed under: Siphoviridae sp. ctYBm1
Lineage: Duplodnaviria; Heunggongvirae; Uroviricota; Caudoviricetes
Also listed under: 1 other name
Description: tRNA-OTHER
Source: RNAcentral
GAAGAAGAUAGCUCAGCGGGAGAGCAUCCUGAUUAUUCAGGAGGGGCGACGUGGUUCAACUCCACUCUCUUCU